UUGUGCUUUGUGUCUAUGGGUACCCACAGAGGCCAGAAGAGUGUAGAAUCUCCAGAUCUAGAGUUACCAGCAGUUGUAAACCAUCCAGUGUGAGUGCACUGAACUCAGGUUCUCUGGAAUAGCGGCAAGCACUCUGGACUGCUAACCUGCCUCUGAGCCCUCACAAUAAGUAUGAUUUUCUAGUCUCGUUCCUGUUGGGAACUCAUUUGAGUGCUAGUGAUUGAGAAAAGGAAUCUUGUGCAUCUAUGGUAUUCUUCAUUGUUUAGUGACAUUUUAAAUUUUUCUUGGGUAGUAACAACUACAGACACCAAAGACACCAAUGUAUUUUUAAAUAAUUUUUGAGACAUAGUCUUUCAUUUUUCUUACUAGUAGCCACCUUUAAAGUUACUUUUGUUUGUUUGUUUUAUUUUUUCUAGACAGGGUUUCUCUGUAUAGCUGGCUGUCCUGGAACUCACUUUGUAGACCAUGCUGACCUUGAACUCAGAAAUCUGCCUGCCUCUGCCUCCUGAGUGCUGGGAUUAAAGGCAUGCUUAUUUGUUUGUUCUGCUCCGAAUGCACCCUGAGUAGGCUCAGGUUCCCCUUUUCUAGAUCCUGGUUAUCCCGGAUGCUUCGAAGCCUACUUGAGGAUUUACUCCUGUGUCGAGUACUUCCCAUCCAGUGCCUCAGGCAGGGCAGUAUCCUGCCCAGGAAUGGGUGAAGCAACCCUGGUCCACAGCCAUGGUAGAGAGAAAUGGAGGUGGCAGAACAGGCUCCACUCUGUGAGAAUGUGGCAGGGCUGAAACCCAAAUGUCUGACCCUGUGCUGUGCCAGGUGGAUCCGCUUACAUCCUGGACUCGUUAGCUUAGAGGGGAGAGCCCUGGGCCCUGGUUCAGCCUGGCUGGGCUGGACUCUGUGGUUGCAAGGACUCUGCUGCUUGUGGGGCUGUGGCCAGUCUUAAAGGAGUAAUGGAGCAGCUUCUCCAUUUGCUCGGUAAACAUUUACUGACCACCAGGCACCUUGCUGGCUGUGGGCGGCCAUGGUCCCUGGCCACACAGAUCUUACAGUCUUGGGGGUACAGACAGUAAAUACAAGGAAAUUGCAUGAUUACCCAUGUGAUCAUGCUUAUUGUUUAUAGUUAUGUAUUAUAUAUGCUAGUGACUCCCGUGUUUAUAAUCUCAACCCAUCCUCUUCAAUUUCAGCCUUGAAGAUUUUCCUGUUUGUCUGUCCCUCUCCUUCCCAAGGGUUUCUCACAUGUACAUCCAAGCCAGAGCGAAUCCACACUCCUCUCUUACGCUCCAUCUUGUUUCUGUCUCUGUUACUGGUGACUUCAUUCUUCAGUUGUCCAGGCCUCUAAAACUCUCAAGUUGCCCUUGUCUCAAAUUCCAUAUCCAUUUAAUCAGUAAGUGCUGCUGGCUCUGCCCUUAGUGUAUUCUGCACUAGACACUCUCCCUUCCGUACCACUGUGAACCACAGACAAAGUGAUGGUGUGACCUGUAAGUUAGAUUUUGUUACUCCCUUGCUCAGCCCUUCCUGGGACUGCCCAGCUCACCCUGUCCUGCUGGUGGAGUACAAGGCGCCCGUUCACUUGUCUUUAGGCAUCUGCUCUCUUCAUCCCCCUUCUCAGCCCCUUGGAACCUGAAUUGGUUCCAUCUUCUCCUCAGCCCUCCCAGGCCAUACUUCUGGAAAAUCAUCCCUCCUUCCUUUGCUCUUGGCAUUAUUUCCCAUCUCUGUUCUGUUUUCCUCCAUAAUCCACAGCAUCACCUAACACUGACUGGAUCACCUUUCUCUGUGUAGUCAGAGAUUUGGUCUUCAGUGCCAACAGCAGUGCCUAACAUGGUAGGUGCCCAAUCAGUUUUUCUGGAAUGAGUUAACAUGUAACAGAGCUAAUAGGAUCUGCAGGAAAUGUAAGUGAGCCUGCCUGUGUUAGAGCAGGUAUCCUGAGGAAAGAACUUGGGCUACAGCCUGAGUGACCUAGGACCAGCAUGCCCCUACCCAGGAGCGAGUAGACCAGCUAGUGCCUGGGGUAUGAUUCUGAGUGGGAGCCUCAUGUUGGAGACAGAGGUACUGAAGCUACAGCACUCCUUAGAGCAGCGCCACUGUGAGGUCCUAACCAGGCAGGGGCACUGCAUUUGAUGUGUGCAGGCUCACCCUGUGUUCAUAGUCUGUAACUCACAGGGCAGGGAAGGGGUAGCCGUGUAGAAUGUGAGGCAGGAAGUGAUGUGGAUCCCAGGCCUCUUCACCAUUGAUUUGGUAGAACAUUUUUAGGAUCAUAGGAUUUCAGAGCUGAAAAGAAACCUAGAGAUUUCUUUAACUCUUUUUUUUUUUCUUAUCCAGCUAUUAAAAAGGAGAACAAAGGUGUAUCCGUACCUCACCUCGUUCACAGAACUACAGUGCAGCUUAUAUCUAAACUGCAUGGGCUCUGUCAAGUAUUGAUUGCCAUGAGGUCAAGAAGUGUGGUGUCGGCAAGGUCAAACGUAUUCAAAAGGGAGGAGCAUUUAGUCUCUGUUAUGUUCAUGAUUGGAGUUGGCAGGUCAUUUGUUUCAUGCUUGGUUGAUAUAUAAGCUGUAUACACAUAUGUAUAUACAUAUAUGGCACUAUUUCUAGUUUACUGCAGCAAGAAGUUAUGAGGAUAAAGUUAGCUAAAUAAUUUUAAAUUCUUUUCAUGGCUGCACAGUCUCAAUUCAGGCUUUCAUCUGACAUUGGAGGGAAAGCUUUUCUUCCUUUCUCCAUUCCAGUUGUCUGUGGCUUUGGAUAAGCCCCUUGAUCUCUUUAAGCCUCAGUUUCCCUGUUAGUAUAAUGGAGAGACUGCCUCUCUGCUGACCUCUCAGAGAGGUUGUGAGACUGAAACGAGACCCUGGAUGAAAAGGAGACUUUGUGAACUUAGGUUUCUAUUCAGAGCUACAGAAUUUUUACAAAGGCAUAUCCAAUGAUUUUUCCCCCCUUUUAGAUCACUGAAGCUCUUUUUAAGGUGAAAAACUAUAAAAGAUCUAGUUAGAACCUAUUUUUGGAUGGGAAUCACUAAAACGACCAAGGUUCUCCUGAGUAAGAUAGAUGCAGCAUAGAGAUCGCUGUGUCACUUUGGUUGUUGCGGUCACUCCGUGUAUGUGUACAGCACCUGCUUGGUGGGAGUGAGGACCCCCCAACAAGGUCUUCUUAGAAGCUUUAUAUUAGAAAGAAGAGAGUUCUGGCUGGCGAGAAAAGUGAUGGGGCAGAAGGCAACCAUGAUCUGUCCUGCCUGUCACUGUACAUCUAAUAACGUGAGGCCUCUGAGGCCUGGGGCUGAGGAUUCCCACCUGAGUGGUCCCAUGGCUGAGUUCACUGUGGCCCGUGUUUCCACUUACAAACCUUGCUGAGUCUUCCUGGAAAUGAGUGGUCACCUUUCCCUGUUAACAAGCAGCCUAGUUAAGCUGGGCCACUGGGGAAGAGGAAGCACAUGAAUGAGAAGCUCGGGUCAGUUUAGGCCACAGAGGAAGUCAGAGGCCAGCAUGGGCAACACUGAGAUCCCAUCUCAUCAAAACACAGCAAACAGUGCCCCUCCCCCACGGCUAACCAGACAUGUAACAUAAAAUAUAUAUAAUAUACAUAAACUAUACUUGAGUUUCUAAUGACAUCUGGGACCUUACACGUGCAAGUCCUAGACCACUCGGUUAUGCCCCUUCGGUUUUUUAGGAGUGGUCUCAUUCUGUAGCUCAAACUGGGCUGAAACUUGCUAUGUAGUUUAGGCUGGCUGUGAACUCAUAUUUGUUGAAUGCCUUACCUCUGCCUUCUGAGUGCUGGGAUUCCGGGAUUGGGGCACCAGGCCUAUGUAGAAUAUUUUCACUAUUCAUCCAUAUUGUAGUAUGUGUCAAAGUGUCUUU
This 3836-nucleotide long non-coding RNA is filed under the name Mus musculus (house mouse). Its description in RNAcentral is "long non-coding RNA chr19:41986562-41990398". Lineage: Eukaryota; Metazoa; Chordata; Mammalia; Rodentia; Muridae. The record is from RNAcentral.